AGCUAGUAGGUGAGGUAAAAGCUCACCUAGGCGACGAUCUCUAGCUGGUCUGAGAGGACGGCCAGCCACACUGGAACUGAGACACGGUCCAGACUCCUACGGGAGGCUGCAGUGGGGAAUAUUGCACAAUGGGGGAAACCCUGAUGCAGCUAUGCCGCGUGUGUGAAGAAGGUCUUCGGAUUGUAAAGCACUUUCAGCAAGGAAGAAAGCAAAUAUGCUAACACCAUAUUUGUGUGACGUUACUUGCAGAAGAAGCACCGGCUAACUCCGUGCCAGCAGCCGCGGUAAUACGGAGGGUGCGAGCGUUAAUCGGAAUUACUGGGCGUAAAGCGUNCGCAGGCGGUUUAUUAAGUCAGAUGUGAAAUCCCUGGGCUCAACCUAGGAACUGCAUUUGAAACUAAUAAACUAGAGUAUCGUAGAGGGAGGUAGAAUUCCAGGUGUAGCGGUGAAAUGCGUAGAUAUCUGGAGGAAUACCAGUGGCGAAGGCGACCUCCUGGACGAUAACUGACGCUCAUGUACGAAAGCGUGGGGAGCAAACAGGAUUAGAUACCCUGGUAGUCCAUGCCGUAAACGAUGUCGAUUUGAAGGUCGUAGUAUUUAUCCGUGAUUUUCGGAGCUAACGUGUUAAAUCGACCGCCUGGGGAGUACAACCGCAAGGUUAAAACUCAAAUGAAUUGACGGGGGCCGCACAAGCGGUGGAGCAUGUGGUUUAAUUCGAUGCAACGCGAAAAACCUUACCUACUCUUGACAUUUAGAGAAUUUAGCAGAGAU
RNAcentral lists this ribosomal RNA (771 nucleotides) under Wigglesworthia glossinidia. RNAcentral describes it as "bacterial SSU rRNA". It matches the Rfam family "Bacterial small subunit ribosomal RNA", at positions 243 to 1007 of the family's 1533-position model. The record is from RNAcentral. Lineage: Bacteria; Pseudomonadati; Pseudomonadota; Gammaproteobacteria; Enterobacterales; Erwiniaceae.